RNAcentral lists this long non-coding RNA (821 nucleotides) under Chloebia gouldiae (Gouldian finch). Its description in RNAcentral is "Erythrura gouldiae (Gouldian finch) lncRNA (ENSEGOG00005011311.1)". Lineage: Eukaryota; Metazoa; Chordata; Aves; Passeriformes; Passeridae. The record is from RNAcentral.
CUCCAGCAUGACAGUUCCCUGGAUGAGAUGGACCCGCUGAGCCAGGAUAUUUAAUAUUUUAGAGGCUGAAAGUGCUGGAGAAGAGGGGGCAAAGCCUGAAUCCCCUCCCUGGCAGGAGGCAGCACUUGCACAAGCUCCAGAUGCUGGACUUGACCCGCAAGCGACGAGAGGCGGAGCUGAAGAGGAAUCUCCACAGGGAGGUGAAAAUCAAUAAGCAGAACAUCAAGGAAUUCAGCCCCAAGGAUGUCCCUGACACUCCCCAGAGAGGUGACAGCACCAGAAGCCCAGACCCCAUCCCUGCUGAGCACAAUCAGUGUUUUCCUGAAGACGACCCUGGAAAGACGUGGGGUGGAGGCCUCUGCAGGCAGCCUGGCAGGGCUGAACUCUCUCCAGACCAGAGGGGGAAGGUUGACCUGUGGCUCUGCAGGGAGCCACGGACCAGGGACCUGUUCUGGGACUCCUCCAGCACAGGGUCAGAGGAGUGGGAGAGGGAAGAGAAGAUUCUCCACAAACCCACGCUUGUGAGGACCAAGACAGAGAGAGUUUCCCUCUUUGAUGACUUCUAUGACAGGGAUUUCUAGUGGCAUGGCUGGGAGCGUGCCAAAGGAACAAGCCCCAGCUCUGGAGGGGCUGGAAUCCCCCAGAUGGAUGGGCUGAGGUUGGCUGUAAGUGGAAUUUCUGUGAAUAUGAACCAGUGGAAAGGACAUCUGGAAAUGAGGAGCUCACUGAUGUGGGAUGGAUUAAAUCCCUCUGGGUUGUGUGGCUGAAUCAAAAUAUCUGGGGAAGCAAGCCUUGGAUGGAGCAACAGUGAAACGGGGGUA